Non-coding RNA from Hemiscyllium ocellatum (epaulette shark), 82 nucleotides. The record is from the annotation of a RefSeq genome assembly. Lineage: Eukaryota; Metazoa; Chordata; Chondrichthyes; Orectolobiformes; Hemiscylliidae.
GGUAGUGUGGCCAAGUGGUCUAAGGCACUGGAUUAAGGCUUCAGUCCCUUUGGUGGUGUGGGUUCAAAUCCCACUACUGCCG